Molecule: unclassified non-coding RNA, 1016 nt
Filed under: Hevea brasiliensis (rubber tree)
Lineage: Eukaryota; Viridiplantae; Streptophyta; Magnoliopsida; Malpighiales; Euphorbiaceae
Source: RNAcentral
AAAAAAAAAAAAAAAAAAAAAGUUAAGCAAUCUUUUCUUCAAUGGGGCUAGGUUUUGAGUUUUCACCAUACAAAUUUCCAAAAAUAAUUAUAUAAGUAAACUAAAAUUAAAAUAUGCAAGCUAGAAAGCCUCAUUUCUUUUUAGUUUCCUUAUAUUUUAUAUUUUAGUUUUUAGUCUGAUUUCCUUAUAUGUUUGCAUAUUUUAGUUUUCUCCUGCCUAAGCAGAAAAAAGAACAUGAAAAAAUCUAGAGUAGUAAUGAGCAAUUUUUCUCAAGCCUGUGGUCAAUCCCAUGUCACUUUUAAGUAGCUAGAUGGUUUUGGAAUUAGCCCAAAGCGUGCAGACAUCAAGUAGUAAACAAUAGCUAGAGUGUUCUAAUAGUUUAUUUUUAUUUUAUUUGGGUUGCAAAAUUAUUAUUUCUUGAAUUCUUAUUAAUUGUUAUUAUUUUUAAUUUUAUGUUAUUUGUAGUUUGAUGAAUUAUUCACAUUUAUUUGAUUUUUAUUUUUAUUUUUUCAUUUUUGCGCCUCAUCUCAAGCAGCUAGGUGCCUUGCACCUAGUCUCUAGAACUCUUGGCUCCUUAGAGCGCCUUGAGCCUUAAUUAAUAUGCUCAAAUGUCAAAAAUGUAAAUGUAAAUUAUCUCAAACCAACUUUCAUCAAUUAUAUUUUCUUGUCAUUCAAACAAGAGGGCUGGUCAAUGUCACUUGCACUUUCCUUCCUUUGAUACUUUCUACCUCGAUUUCCAUCUUCCUUGGUUUAUUCCAUUUGCCAAAAUUCCCCCAAAAUAUAGUGUAAAAGAUUUCUUGAUUAACAUCUUGGCACCUGUAAUUAAACCAACCAUGCCACAACUGUCAUGGCGUUAGCUUAGGAAACAAACCUGCCUAUAAAUGUGCAAAACUAGACUGAAGAAAAAUUUAGAGUGACAAGGAAAGGUUGCCCAAAGAAUAAUGAAUGAAACAAACUUGGAGUUAGAAAUGAAUAAUGGCUUCAAUUAAAUACAAAAUGCUAGUGGUUAUUGGAAU